RNAcentral lists this transfer RNA (72 nucleotides) under Camelus bactrianus (Bactrian camel). It matches the Rfam family "tRNA". From Rfam's summary of the family: Transfer RNA (tRNA) molecules are approximately 80 nucleotides in length. Their secondary structure includes four short double-helical elements and three loops (D, anti-codon, and T loops). The record is from Rfam by way of RNAcentral. RNAcentral also lists the same sequence under 2 other names. Lineage: Eukaryota; Metazoa; Chordata; Mammalia; Artiodactyla; Camelidae.
GAGGGUAUAGCUCAGUGGUAGAGUGCAUGCUUAGGGUGCAGGAGGUCCUGGGUUCAAUCCCCAGCACUUCCA